CCAGCCUAGGUGACAGAACGAGACCUUGCCUCAGAAAAAAAAAAAAAAAAAGGGUGGGGGGAGGUAAAUUUAAUUGUAAGUUAUUUCACUAUAAAGCUGUUAAAAAAUAACUAUUAAGUCUAAACAGUAAUCCUGGGAAUGUAUAUUGGGAAACUAUAUUGUACCUCUGCAGAACUGAAAAACAUACAGAGACAGGCAUGCAGCCGGUGUUCAAUAAAUGCUUUCAGAAUGUAGUGGAAACAUUAUGCACCAGUGUUUAUUGAAAGGAAAGUCUCCCUGCUCUCUCAAGUUCAAGUCAGCCCAGGUUUAACAUUAUCCUUGUCUGCCACCUGGUGGCCCAAAUGGGCAAAGUGGGUGUCCUGGUCUUUCGCUCCAAACUUCAAAAAGCUGUAGUUGGGCUUAAAGGCCGUGGAUGGAAAGAAGGGAGACUUUCGCCCUGGAAAUCCGGUGCCCCGAGAGGCAAGUUGGUCAGAGGUAGGGGUAUAAGGGGAUUAUUAGGGUCUAUGGGACUAGAAUACAGCCUCUUAAUGACAGAGGGAAUAUACUUUGGUGAAACCAAGAGGCCGAUUGAACACAAUUGGCCACCUUUGCACACUGAGAUAAAAUAUGAGGAGGAUUUUUGCGAAGCCAGGAAGGAGAAAAGUUUAGGGACAACAAUGAGGUAAGUAGGAAAAUAAUCAUAUGGACACACAUGGUGAGUUCGGGGAUGCUCAGGGGGCUGAAAGGUUGGCAAGGGAAUUCUGAAAGGCCAGAGAACAUCUCCCUGGGUGGAGAGGCUCCUGGGAGCCAGGGAACAGGAAUCUCUUUUCUUAGAUAUGCCUGGACCUUUGGACCCUCAAUCCCACUUCCGGGGCACACCCCACAGGUAAACAUCUUCGCGAGUGUGCUACGAUCCUGUGAGUAGGGGCCUUACAGUGUCUGUAGAACCACUGAGAAGAAGAGCAACCUUCAGGAGACGGCCACUGAGGAAUCGGCUUGGCUUUCCUGGCAACUGUACAGGAGGCCCAGGCUCAGGGGCCUGUGGACAAGCCCAGUCUUGCUUCUUACAAAAAUGGGUUGAGUCACCUCUGCAGGACACAGAUAGGCGAGGAGGUGGCUUGUUUUUGUUUGUUUGUUUUUGUUUUUGUUUUUAGAUUGAGUCUUGCUCUGUCACCCAGGCUGGAGUAUAGUGGCACAAUCUCAGCUUACUAUGAUCUCCGCCUCCAGGGUUCAAGCAAUUCUCCUGGCUCAGCCUCCCAAGUAGCUGGGAUUACAGGGAUGUGCCACCACGCUUGGCUAAUUUUUGUGUUUAGUAAAGACAGGGUUUCACCUUGUUGGCCAGGCUGGUCUCGAAAUCCUGACCUCAGGUGAUCCACCUGGCUUGGCCUCCCAAAGUGCUAGGAUUACAGGCAUGAACCACCGCACCUGGCCUGUAAAGGUGGCUUGUUUUAAAUGUCAAUGAUAGACGACAUUUAGUGGGACAAAAGGGGAGUAUAGGAACUUUUACAUUUUCAGUAGUUGGUGACCUUGGUGGCUGAAAUCUGGGAGCUCUAAGUGCUAUGGUUUAAAUGUUUGUAUUGCCUCAAAAAUUUGUAUGGUGAAACCUAAUCCCCAAUGUGAUGGUGUCAAGAGGUGGGGACUUCAGGAGGUGAAGGGGAUUAGUGUCCUUACAAAAGAGGCCAGAUGGAGCUUGUUUUCCCUUUCCUCCAGGGGAGCACACAAUGAGAGGCUGCCAUCUAUUAACCAGAGAACAAGUCCUUGCCAGACAGCAAAUCUGCUGACACCUUGAUCCUGGACUUCUAAGCCUCUAUAACUGACAUGAUGAAAACUUUACAGAUGAUAUGAUGUCUGGGAUUUGUUUCAAAUAAUGAUGCAAGAGAGAGGUGGCCAUCCGGAAAACACCAGGUUAUAUUCAACCUGAGAAAGCUGAUUUAAAACAGAAACAAAAACAAGAUCUUUGUUAUUGCUGAAGACGGACAAUGGGUAUGUUGGAUUUCUUAUACUACUGUUUCUACCUCAGACUUGGCUCAUCCUUUGGUGCUGUGCAGCCCUUGAGCAGGCUUGACCCUCUCUGUGCCUCAGGGAGGUUCACCUGCUGUUCUUAUUCCCACCAGCUCCCACCUGCCUGGCACUUUCCCUUUUGGAACCUCAGGUUCUGCUUCUGUAGGAUUUGGGAAAUCUGAGCCCAGUUUCAUAAUAAAAAGUCAGAAAACAGGUCAGUCGCAGUGGGUGACUUUGGUAAUCCUAGCACUUUGGGAGGCCGAGGUGGGUGGAUCACUUGAGGUUAGGAGUUCGAGACCAGCCUAGCCAACAUGGUGAAAGCCUGUCUCUACCAAAAUAUAUAAUAUAUUUGUCAGACACACAUAUGUUUAUAAUAUAAUAUAAUAUACAUCUAAAUAUUGGACUCCGUCUGUUGCCCAGGCUGGAGUGCAGUGGUGUGAUUGCAGCUCACUGCAGCCCCCACCUCCUGGGCUUGAGAUCCCCCCAUCUCAACUUCCCAAGUACUUGGGAACACAGUUGUGUGCCACCAUGCCUGAGAGUCCUUUUUUUUUUUUUUUUUUUUUUUUUGGUAGAGACAAGUCUUGUUGCCCAAGCUGGUCUCUAACUCCUAGCCUCAUGUGAUCCUCCCAUCUCUGCCUCACACAGUGCUGGGAUAACAGGUGUGAGCCACUGUGUCUGGCCCAAAAUAUUUCAAAAGGUAGCCAUCUGUGAGGCCAGGCAGAUCUUCCUGCUGGGCUCCUGGUGAAUUCUAGAAUGUGAUCAAGGGCAGGCAUGGGAGGAAGCCCUGCAGGAGUGCACCAUGGGGCGAAUAUGGACUCCACCUGGGCAGAUUAAAUUGGGAAAGGGUCGGGAGAGGCAGUCAGAUCAUACACUUAGGAGAGUUUCAGGUGAGAGGACCAAAGGCCAAAACACUCCCGGAGCUUCGAAAAGGGCCUGGAGAAGCCUGGCAGGCACACAGAGCCUUCACCUUUGCCCUGGAAGCCAAGUUGUGCCCUUGCCCAGGAUGAGGUAAAUGGCGUGAGGGACACCACGAGCUCUUUGGCUCUUGUUUCUGGAGACAGAUUUUUGUUUUUUCACCCAGGCUGGAGUGCAAUAGUGUGAUGAAGGCUCACUGCAGCCUCAACCUCCCCUACUAAAGUGAUCUCCCACCUCAGCCUCCCAAGAAGCUGGGACUAGAGGUCACAGGCCACCACAGCCCAUUAAUUUCUUUUAAUUAUUUUGUACACUCUGAGUCUAUGUUGCCCAGGCUGGCCUCCAACUCCUGGGAUCAAGCGAUUCUCCCCCUUGGCCUUCCAAAAUGCUGGGAUUAAAGGAGUGAGCCAAUCGCACCCAGCCACUGCGGCCUCUUAGAUCUGCUUUAGGAUUUGGAGCCUGGGGGCUUCUGUUCCCCAAGGACCACUAACCUUGUCUGAGGCCCCUUUGGAGGGCUCAGCGCGCCCCCUUGGCCAAGGACGCCACACAUUGAGAGCCAGCUGCUGCCAGAAGCUAUUACUGUUAUUACCGGCCGGCAGCACAGGCUACAGCCACAAUCGUAAGAGGGAAAUGGACUGAAUCCCCACACCCCAAUCCCUCACUCACUCCGACCCGAGGCUGUCUACCCGGCCUGGCAUGUCCCGGCGCUCCUGGGGCCCCUGUACUCCGCUGGUUCCUCGCUGUGGUGUCCCGCAGCCCGACCAUUUCUGUGCUUC
RNAcentral lists this long non-coding RNA (3668 nucleotides) under Homo sapiens (human). RNAcentral's name for it is "HSALNT0232576". The record is from RNAcentral. Lineage: Eukaryota; Metazoa; Chordata; Mammalia; Primates; Hominidae.